CCUUUGUGGUUUAGACUUGGGAGUCCCAAACUUCAGUGUCCAGGGCCACGUGCCACACAGUGACAUCAAAGCUCAUGAUGGGGAUCGCUUUGUCCUAUACAGAGUACAUCCCCAUUCAUGACCUUGUUGGGGGAGACAGGACUGGGUCACCUCACAGAGGACUCUGAGCAAAGUUGGACAACUUGUCCACAGUUGGAGCUAGAGGUUGACAAGGCCCUGCAGCUCCUGCUGGGCAAUACCGUGUCUGGCCCCUUGGGGCUUCAUUCUGGCCCAGAAUUGGAGAAGCGUCAGGGUUCUGCUCUGCUUCCCAGGAGCCCCCACCAGGGCUCUGUUUCCCAAGGAACAGACUCGGGCCCCAGGAUCCUGGAGACUGUGGGGCUGGGCACUCGGAGCAGGAGGGAUGGUGUACCUGGGGUGUGCAGGGCUCAGGGGCAGAGGCUCACCUUUCAGAGUCUUCAGAGUCUGGGCUUUCUUCUGGCUCCUGCUGCUCCUUCUCUGAGGCUCCACUCGAUGCUGAGAUGAGAGAACAUGGGGAGACUGGGACCCCCUCCCUGCCCUCUGGAGCAAGCUGCAGAUGCUCAGUGCUCAUGAACAAUGUGACUUCCUACAUUUAACUAAGAGGGGAGGGGGCAUGGGUUUCUUUCUUUUACUCAUUUUCAAAGUAGAUAAGUACGUUUUCAGUUUUUCUUCUUUGAAGAAUGUACAGAAAGAUUUUCUACGUGAGAAAUUCCUCUGUCACUGGUCCUCUGCUCAAGAAACACACAUAUCCCCAGACCUGCAGCAUCUGCGUUUCUUCAGGUUCAUAGAUGAGGAUGAGACCUGAUCACUCUCCAGGGCCAGUGACUGGCACUCCCUCGCCUAGGCCUUUUGAGCUGUGGGCAAGAGACACCAGGGCCUUACCACGUGGGCCUGUCCAUAGGGCAGCUUACAACAUGGCAGCUGGCAUCUUCCAGAGCAAGAAGGAAGCAUUUCCCCGAGCUCCCCAGGCUGAUGAAGGUGAAGAGGACCAGAAAAUCAAACAGACCUGAGAAAGUUCUGGAGAUAGUGGUGAACUGACACUAAGGAACACAGGUGUACAACGUGUUUAUCCUUUCAUCUGUUCAAGGACAUCUUGGCUGUUUAUAUUCUUUGUCAGCUGUGAAUGGUAAUUAUAAAUGUUCAUGUAAAACACUUACUGUUUUCAUUUUAGCAAUUCUAAUUGUGGUAUCUCAUUGUAUUGUUAAUUUGAAUUUCCCUGAAGACCAAUAAUAUGGUGCUUUCUG
Long non-coding RNA from Canis lupus familiaris (dog), 1262 nucleotides. RefSeq lists it as uncharacterized. NCBI's taxonomy places the organism in Eukaryota, Metazoa, Chordata, Mammalia, Carnivora, Canidae. The record is from RefSeq and is a predicted model, not a curated record. The transcript has 4 exons.